CACGUAGGGGGCAAGCGUUGUCCGGAUUUAUUGGGCGUAAAGAGCUCGUAGGCGGCUUAGUAAGUCGGGUGUGAAACCUCCAGGCUCAACCUGGAGACGCCACCCGAUACUGCUGUGACUAGAGUCCGGUAGGGGAGCGUGGAAUUCCUGGUGUAGCGGUGAAAUGCGCAGAUAUCAGGAGGAACACCAGCGGCGAAGGCGGCGCUCUGGGCCGGUACUGACGCUGAGGAGCGAAAGCAUGAGGAGCGAACAGG
RNAcentral lists this ribosomal RNA (254 nucleotides) under uncultured bacterium. RNAcentral's name for it is "partial 16S ribosomal RNA". It matches the Rfam family "Bacterial small subunit ribosomal RNA", at positions 524 to 776 of the family's 1533-position model. The record is from RNAcentral.